Molecule: long non-coding RNA, 658 nt
Organism: Clupea harengus (Atlantic herring)
Lineage: Eukaryota; Metazoa; Chordata; Actinopteri; Clupeiformes; Clupeidae
Source: Ensembl
GGACAGAAAGUUCCGGCUAGCGAGAAGUUCCGGAUGACGCAACAGACGUUCCGAUCAGCUGUUUAUCAAAGAAUCUUGGCGUCGUUGCUAUGAUGGUUGCUAUGAGCUCGCGGUUGACAUAUAGGAGUCGCGAGAAGCUGUCAUUUACCUCAGGAACACCUCAGGAACACACAAGCGGACAGCGACAGAGACAGCGACAGCAUUCAAUUUCAAUUACAUUUCUUUAUUACAUUCUAAUCUUCAUUAUCCUAUUUGCCUACUUUGUGAAAAUGGUAUCGUUUGAUAAUAUUUUAUUUUAUCUUGUAGGUAGCAAGGACAAGUACAAACCAGGGACGGAAGAGUCCGCCAAAAGAGCUAUUAGAAAAGCUGCAAAAGCCUACUGUGUCCAAGGUGAUGCGUUGUACCACCAAGGCGAUGAGUCCUGUCUGAGGAGAGUGGUGAUGACAGAAGAGGAGAAGACUCCCAUCCUCGAAGAGGCACACGCAGGCCACUUUGGGCGAGCGCGCAUGGAGGCCAAGAUCCGGCAGCGCUUUUAUUGGCAGAACAUCAGGGAGGAUGUGGACAACUGGAUUCAGACCUGCAUGCGGUGCCAACGCUUUGAGAGGGUGAAGACGGAGGCCCCGGAGAUGAGGCCCAUCAAGCCAGUUGCUCCCUGGCA